Molecule: ribosomal RNA, 253 nt
Filed under: uncultured bacterium
Lineage: Bacteria
Description: partial 16S ribosomal RNA
Rfam family: Bacterial small subunit ribosomal RNA
Source: RNAcentral
UACGUAGGGUGCAGGCGUUAAUCGGAAUUACUGGGCGUAAAGCGUGCGCAGGCGGUUUGCUAAGACAGGUGUGAAAUCCCCGGGCUUAACCUGGGAACUGCGCUUGUAACUGGCAAGCUAGAGUGUGGCAGAGGGGGGUGGAAUUCCACGUGUAGCAGUGGAAUGCGUAGAGAUGUGGAGGAACACCGAUGGCGAAGGCAGCCCCCUGGGCUAACACUGACGCUCAUGCACGAAAGCGUGGGGAGCAAACAGG